UGUUGCCCAGGUCACGCGCUUCUGCCGCUUUUUCAGGUUCAAAAGUGGCUUGACCUGGGGAAUGUGGCACCUGUAGCCCAUUUCCUGCACAUGGCUGUACACGGUGGCUCUGGAUGUUUCUACUCCAGACUCAGUCCACUGCUUCCGCAGGUCCCCCAAGGUCUGGAGUCGGUCCUUCACUACAAUCUUCCUCAGGGUCCGGUCAUCUCUUCUCUUUGUGCGGCGUUUUCUGCCACACUUUUUCCUUCCCUCAGACUUCCCACUGAGGUGUCUUGAUACAGCACUCUGGGAACAGAAAUUCCUUUCUGUAUCGUACCCUCUUGCUGGACGGUGUCAAUGAUGGCCUUCUGGACAGCAGUCAGUUCGGCAGUCUUACCCAGGAUUGCGGUUUUGAGUAAUGAACCAGGCUGGGAGUUUU
Danio rerio (zebrafish) is the source of this 418-nucleotide non-coding RNA. NCBI's taxonomy places the organism in Eukaryota, Metazoa, Chordata, Actinopteri, Cypriniformes, Danionidae. The record is from Ensembl.